CAGCAGCCACGGUAAUACGGAGGGGGCUAGCGUCGUUCGGAAUUACUGGGCGUAAAGCGCACGUAGGCGGCUUUGUAAGUUAGAGGUGAAAGCCCGGAGCUCAACUCCGGAAUUGCCUUUAAGACUGCAGAGCUAGCAGGUGAGAGAGGUGAGUGGAAUUCCGAGUGUAGAGGUGAAAUUCGUAGAUAUUCGGAAGAACACCAGUGGCGAAGGCGGCUCACUGGCUCAUACUGGACGCUGAGGUGCGAAAGCGUGGGGAGCAAACAGGAUUAGAUACCCCAGUAGUCCUGUCUCUUAUACA
This 301-nucleotide ribosomal RNA is filed under the name uncultured bacterium. RNAcentral describes it as "partial 16S ribosomal RNA". It matches the Rfam family "Bacterial small subunit ribosomal RNA", at positions 509 to 809 of the family's 1533-position model. The record is from RNAcentral.